UGUAUUCGGAUUCAUACGCACAUUGUUUACAAAAAAAGAUUCUUCUUUGAAUAAGUAGACCGAUAAAUUUUCCAUUAAAGAACAAAAAUUUCAACUUUUUUUUAAAUCACAGUCUAGAGAUUUUGUUUUCAAUCCUUGGGAAUUACUUAUCUAUAUCUUUCGAAUAGCAAAUUUGGUAAAUUAAGAUAUACUAAGCUAAGGAGGGAAUAAAAUAAUCUUUGUUAUUAACAAUUCCACUUGUAUAACUACAUACUCGUACAUAUCCAUACAUUCACAGUUUUUUCCACAAAACCUUCAUCUUUUAAUGGAAAUUUAUCUUUUGAACCAGAUUUUCUUUUGCCUAAUUAGAUAAAUUCUCUGGUAAUUGUGUCAUUAACGUAUUUACAUUUUAACUGUCUGAGCUAUAAACAAUAGAAACCAUAGCAAUUACCGUAAUGGAAAGAAGAGAUGGAGUUCUGGAUUUAACUUUGCUGUUAUUUUGAGAUUGAAUAAUGAUAAAGUUUAUUUCUCAAAAAAGGAAUUCAAUAUAUUACAUUUCUAUGUUAAGAUUUAACGUUUUCUUGGUUUGACCGUAUAUAUAUAGAAGAUUGCAACAAAUUAGUAUAGUAUUGGAGUCUCGGUGUAGCUGACAUUUUGGAAACUUUACCGUGUUUGCAACGAAUAUGGUAUCACCGCAUGGUGUUUGGGUUGUUUCAUUAAGGAUUUUUUUGGAGAUAUACAUAAUAUUAUCGCAGUUUUUAAAUAAAAUUGUAAUGGAACUCAUAUUGAUUAAAGCUUUUUGAGCAGUUCACUUUCAAUACAAAAUAAACCUACGGGUGAAGGGGUUUUUACAUCAAGGAUUUGAUCAUUAUACCUAUGUUAUGUGCAGAACCAUGGAGUUUAACAUCAGAAGCUAUAUUUCUACAUUUCGC
Molecule: long non-coding RNA, 911 nt
Organism: Hermetia illucens (black soldier fly)
Lineage: Eukaryota; Metazoa; Arthropoda; Insecta; Diptera; Stratiomyidae
Exons: 3
Source: RefSeq, a predicted model, not a curated record